Molecule: ribosomal RNA, 642 nt
Filed under: Symmetrospora foliicola
Lineage: Eukaryota; Fungi; Basidiomycota; Cystobasidiomycetes; Symmetrosporaceae
Description: eukaryotic LSU rRNA
Rfam family: Eukaryotic large subunit ribosomal RNA
Source: RNAcentral
GCAUAUCAAUAAGCGGAGGAAAAGAAACUAACAAGGAUUCCCCUAGUAACGGCGAGUGAAGUGGGAAAAGCUCAACUUUAAAAUCUGGCAGCUUCGCUGUCCGAGUUGUAGUCUCGAGAAGUGUUUUCCGCGCUGGAUCGUGUAUGAGUCUGUUGGAAUACAGCGUCAUAGAGGGUGAGAACCCCGUUCAUGACACGACUACCAGUGCUUUGUGAUACACUUUCGAUGAGUCGAGUUGUUUGGGAAUGCAGCUCAAAAUGGGUGGUAAAUUCCAUCUAAAGCUAAAUAUUGGCGAGAGACCGAUAGCAAACAAGUACCGUGAGGGAAAGAUGAAAAGCACUUUGGAAAGAGAGUUAACAGUACGUGAAAUUGUCGAAAGGGAAACGCUUGAAGUCAGACGUGCGCGGUGCGAUUCAGCCUUGGUUCGCCAGGGUGUACUUCGUACCAUUGCAGGCCAGCAUCGGUUUUGCGAGCCGGAUAAAGGUUAGAGAAAGGUAGCGGCUCAGGCCGUGUUAUAGUCUCAAACUGAAUACGGAUUGUGAGACCGAGGGACGCAGCGCGCCGCAAGGCAAAGGGUUCGCCCUUUUCGCGCUUAGGAUGCUGGUGAAAUGGCUUUAAACGACCCGUCUUGAAACACGGACC